RNAcentral lists this ribosomal RNA (460 nucleotides) under uncultured bacterium. Its description in RNAcentral is "partial 16S ribosomal RNA". It matches the Rfam family "Bacterial small subunit ribosomal RNA", at positions 338 to 795 of the family's 1533-position model. The record is from RNAcentral.
CCUACGGGCGGCAGCAGUGAGGAAUAUUGGUCAAUGGACGAGAGUCUGAACCAGCCAAGUAGCGUGAAGGAUGACUGCCCUAUGGGUUGUAAACUUCUUUUAUAUGGGAAUAAAAUGUUCCACGUGUGGGAUUUUGUAUGUACCAUAUGAAUAAGGAUCGGCUAACUCCGUGCCAGCAGCCGCGGUAAUACGGAGGAUCCGAGCGUUAUACGGAUUUAUUGGGUUUAAAGGGAGCGUAGGUGGAUUGUUAAGUCAGUUGUGAAAGUUUGCGGCUCAACCGUAAAAUUGCAGUUGAAACUGGCAGUCUUGAGUACAGUAGAGGUGGGCGGAAUUCGUGGUGUAGCGGUGAAAUGCUUAGAUAUCACGAAGAACUCCGAUUGCGAAGGCAGUUCACUGGACUGCAACUGACACUGAGGCUCGAAAGUGUGGGUAUCAAACAGGAUUAGAUACCCCUGUAGUC